GACGAACGCUGGCGGCGUGCUUAACACAUGCAAGUCGAACGGAAAGGCCCUGCUUUUGUGGGGUGCUCGAGUGGCGAACGGGUGAGUAACACGUGAGUAACCUGCCCUUGACUUUGGGAUAACUUCAGGAAACUGGGGCUAAUACCGGAUAGGAGCUCCUGCUGCAUGGUGGGGGUUGGAAAGUUUCGGCGGUUGGGGAUGGACUCGCGGCUUAUCAGCUUGUUGGUGGGGUAGUGGCUUACCAAGGCUUUGACGGGUAGCCGGCCUGAGAGGGUGACCGGCCACAAUGGGACUGCGAGACGGAGCAGACUCCUACGGUAGGCAGCAGUGGGGAAUAUUGCACAAUGGGCGGAAGCCUGAUGCAGCAACGCCGCGUGCGGGAUGACGGCCUUCGGGUUGUAAAACGCUUUCGCCUGUGACGAAGCGUGAGUGACGGUAAUGGGUAAAGAAGCACCGGCUAACUACGUG
This 468-nucleotide ribosomal RNA is filed under the name uncultured bacterium. RNAcentral's name for it is "partial 16S ribosomal RNA". It matches the Rfam family "Bacterial small subunit ribosomal RNA", at positions 28 to 507 of the family's 1533-position model. The record is from RNAcentral.